GAGCUCACCGACGCGUGUAAGCAUCUCUCUUGGCCCCUCAAAAAAAAAUCUCAUUCUCAAAAAAACAACAACAAAUCUCUCUCGGCUCCUCCACUCGUCGGCGCGCGUCACCAUCUCCAUCUCCGCCGACCCCCGCCGACCACCCGACUGUCUCUCCGUCCAUCGCGGUGGCGCCGGAGCCGGUGAAGCAGAAUGGACGACCAAGGAAUCCCUUCCCACCCCUCGCGCGUCCAUCUCCGGCCUGCUCCGAUUCCUAUCCCCCCUCUCCCUCCCACGCGGCGCCGAGUCAGCCGACCACCAACCCCUCCCGAGGUAGGUCAGGAAGGUACCUCACCCCGAACCCGAAGGUACACGCACGCACUGACGUCUCUUCCGCUCGGAGCUUUGCGUCACAUACUCACAUGGUGGCGCCUGGCGCGGUGCGCACAUGGAAGAUGCAGAUUGCAGAGAUACGUGCGUACUUCUGUAUCCGCGCGCGAUCAAGUCGUGCAACCGCAGUUGCAAAGCAUGCCAGUUGGAUUCUAGCGAUUCCCGCGUACAAGUUUGGGGUGUCGGUUCACCACACCCGACGCAAAGGAUUCCCUUACAUUGGGAUUCUGUUUCAUAUUUUGCUGUGAUGAUGCACUGUCCCUAGAUUUUGGGUUCUAGCGGUUCCCGUGUAUAACCUUGGCGUGUCAGUUCGAGGAAACUGUGCUAAUUAGCAUGCGAUAAUCAGGGGGUUCUUCUUAAUACUAGCCACAGUGCUUUUAUUUUAGUCAUUCGAGAGUAGUCAUGGCAGGACAAGUGCAGACAGACUGUACUGGUCAUGAGAUUCUGUUCAUAUGUGGUGGUGAUGCAGUAGGACUAAAAUUAUCUCUGAACACGAGUCGAGCGUUGGGCUGUAGCGGUCUCCAUGUUUAAGAGUUGAAGGAGACAAUGCUAAUUAGCACAUGAUAGUCAUGGACUCGUAAUUUUGCAUUCCGUCGGUUUUAAUUCUGUUAGCGUUUUGUUUUGCUAAUAGUGGUGGGGAAGGAAUCGAAGGCUUCGAACACGAGCAUGUAUUUUGCUUCGAGUAAUGAUGUCAAUUUUAUUCGAUUCAAACGCUUUGGUUAGCAAAAGCAGAGGGAGUAAUUAUUUCUUUACAGAGGGAGUAAUUGUCAGCAAAACCAGGGUAAGCUUUGCUCCGGGAUGGUGCCUACAUGACGCUCCUUCCCUAAUAUUUUUUCCUGGUCUGAGUCGUGAGUCAGAAGGUCCACGUUAACUGAAGCGAAUUAGAUUUAUCUGGAAUAUCUUGACUUUGGAGAAUAACUCCGACCUUAGCUUGCCAAGCUUGUUUAGCAGGAAUUUACCCCACUUGCACCAACUUGCCAGUACUUUAGUUUUCUAUAGUUAGGCAGCUUGGAUUAUGCAGGUGAUGGUGACAAGUUUCCACAGUACUAGUGGCUGUUAACUUCCCAUUUCAAAGUUCAAUGUACUUCCGAUUUCAAUAAUAGGACUAAAAUUAUCUCUUACAUGUCUCUAAUAUGGGGUUCUAGACUUCUAGUGGUCUCCAUGUUUAAGAGUUGGAGGAGACCAUGCUUGUUAGUACAUGAUAGUCAUGGACUUUUAAUUAUGUAUUCCGCCGGUUACAAUUUUCUCUCAGCAUUUUGUUUCUCUAAUAUGGGGAAGGAUUGGAAUACGAGCAUUUAUAUUGUUUUGAUAAAUGACAUCAAAUUUAUUCGAUUCAAACAUCUAAUUGUUAGCAAAACCAGGGUUAAGCCUUCAUGACAUGUCUCCCCUAAUAUUAUUCGUGGUCUAGGUGGUGAGUCAUAGUGUCCAUAUUAACAGGAACGAAUCAUAUUUAUUGUUCACUAAAAAUAAUCAGAUUUAUCUAAAUCUUUUUGACUGGAGAAUAGCUCCAACCUUAGCUUGCCAAGCUUGUUUAACAGGAAUCUAUCGUGCAGCAACUUGCCAGUACUUAUGUUUUCUAUAGCUAGGCACCUUAGAUUAUGCAGCUGAUGGUGACAGAUUUGUACAGUACUAGUGGCUGUUACCUUCUAAUUUCAAAGUUCAAUGAUUUCCCAUAAUUGUUGAAAUUUCCGGCCGUCUAGCUAGGCUCAUAUUUCAGUAAUGUCUCAGUCAUCUGAAAGAGAAAUCAGUUGACCAUGCAUUGCCGCCCUUGGACUGUAAUAUAUUGCUUACUCUAACCUGAAUUUAACCAUACGCAAGUCUAUGUGGUAGGAUGCAAACAAUAUAUUGACCUCAGUUGACAGUGAAUUUUUACUUUAAUGUACACAGGCCUCGAGUUGUAGUUUACCUAGAGGAGAGAUCGGUUGUCUUCUAUCGUGACCGUGGGAUUCUAUCUUGAGAGUAAGGCAUAUUGCAGAGGUUUAUUUUUGAACUGCAUGAGGUAUGCCAUUCAUGGGACCAUGCUGUAAUAUAUCUGACCCCUUGAGAAAUUUGUUUUGGCUGGCAGUUCUUAGUGAGCUGAUAGGCUAGCCAACUAGUAAGUGAUGCAUCAAACCAGAAAUUAGCAUGUCCUCUAGUGUUUGCUAAUCUCAAAUUUUUCGUUUACCUUGUGGGAAGACAAAUUUCUUGUACUAGAAUUAAGUUUCGUUCUUCAGAGGAGGACAGCGCACAGCCACACAGGCAAACCACGUUAUUCUAGCAUGCUUGUCUAAUCAAUGGCAUCGGAACCUUCUGCCUCCCUCUCGUCCAGAUAAACCAAGCAUAUACUGUACAGUGCUAGUGCGUCUUCGUUUGUACUUCCCUUUGGCAUUCAUGUUAAGUACGUGUACCGUGUAUCUUAUGCGGGAUUAGGGAACAUACCGAUAGACAAAGGAUGAUGCUUUAGGUGACUUGCUACCUAGCUGGGGAUUAGGAGACCACCAAGCUGAUGCUACAGAACGGAAAGCAACAGUUUGUUUUGCUGCUCUUGUUUUCAGCAAUUGCUGUGAGGGGCUCCUCUCAACCACCGAACCCCAUAGGCCUUCUAUUGGUGGAAUUCUUAGUGAUCUUUGUCCACUGUUCUUCCUUCCCAUAUUUUUGAAGAUGUUAGGCCACGUUGCGUCAGUGAAAUGCCGACAAGUGUCGUUUGAGAAUCUCUCUAUUAUCAGCUUAAACCCUCUGACCUCCACCACUUGUUUCAAACCUUUAUUCUUAUUCCCACUGAAUAGUUCAAGAGCAAAAGUGUUAUAUAUAUUUAGGCAAAUGCUGAUUCCAUCAAUGUAUUAGCAUAUAAUACUGAAUAUUUGAUUCAUGUUGUCUAAUUAAUAGUUUCUUUCCUUGUCCAGCAGCAGUGCUUACCAACUAUGAUUAUGAUGAUAAUUAGGUAUCCACCUGCCGUCCUUAACUCAUUUGAUGUCAGUGAGCAUGUUUCCUGAGCAUGCUGGGCUCCCGCGUCGUUGACAAAAUGGGCCAUACAAUCAUUCCUGUUAGUCUCAACUCUCAAGGAAUUAAUUUGAGCCCUCUAUGACGAAAUCUUGUAGGGUGUGGUGGGGGCAUAUGAUACUUAAUGUCCGGUUGUGAAGGCAGUUGUACUGCUGGUUGUGAUGAAAAGUACCAUGCUGCCAAGAUCCUUUUUAAAGUGAUUUCUUCUUUUACAUCAUAUUGUCUACACUCUUACAGUUGUACUUUGGCAUCUUUUUCUUUUUCUGGUCGAACACAACAAUAUUCCAUGACCAAGUAAAUUCACAAUGUUACUCUUGACAAUGUGCAGAUUUUGCCAGCUUUGCUUGUCCUGUAAUAAAGACAUCUCAGCAUAGUGCAGGAAAAAAUAUUUAGUUACCUCAGUGGAAUCAUCCAGACUCUCUCCAGAGGAAAAAAAAACUUAUACAAUGCUGAAAGCUCUCCGGAACACACCAUUUGUGCACUUGUAAUCUGAAGUUCUGAAAUAGUCAGUGAAAAGCUGUACAUGGUUGGACUCCAUCCAGAUUUUCCUGCUGUUGGUAGUUUCUGGAAACGAUCAUUUUGGAAUUGCCAGGCGGGAAGGCAGGAGAAACAUUCAGAUCAGUAGCAAGAGGCAGCCUGGAACCAGGAAAUCUGUGUGGCCUACGCUUGUGUUUUGGAGGGCUCGUCUCAGCUCAGUACGGAGGUUCUGAUUUCAGCAGUCGCAGGUGAUCUUGCCAGCCGUUUCAUCUCAUUCCUAGCUCACAUAUAUGACACUCGAACUUGUGAGGAUGAUGAUCGUAGAAGGCUGGAACUCGUGUUGCUAAGGAUCCACGCUGUUGUUGAGGAAGCAGAGGGGCGGCACAUCACAAAUCGAAGAAUGUUCUUGCAGCUUAAGGCACUCAUUCAGGGUGUGUAUCUUGGGCAUUACAUGCUCGAUAGGUGCAAGGCAGUCUCAGGAAGUACUUGUUUGUUGUGGAUUUCAUCUUAUGAUGUGGAUGAGACGACAUGGGCAAACUUCCAAUCAUAUUUGCAGAAGUUGCCAGGCACUGAGAUCAAAAUUGUAGUGACAGGCAGAGCAGAGCAAGUUGCAAACUUGGGGACUGCUCAACCCAUCAGGCUGAAGAGUCUGUCUGAAGAAGAGUCCUGGUACUACUUCAAGGCACUUGCCUUUGGAAGCAUGGAUCCCGAUGAGCAUCCAAAACUGGCAUCUUUGGGUAUGCAACUAGCAACACUCCUACAGGGAUUAUUUCUUGGUGCAAAUAUACGAGCCACUAAGAGCGAGCCCAAAUGCUCAAUUCUUGCGUGGUGUAUUAUGUAGCAUAAGGGGACUGGCUCACAAACACUUGAGGUCCUUCGGCACGCACCCAGAGGAAUUUCUGGAGAGAAUACUCCUCUGAAUUAUACCAAUGUGGCCUUAGUGGGCGGUAAAGCUCAAGGAUGCCAUGCAUAUAUGAUUUUUGGGAGGCGAGCUGCCAAAGCUGACAUCGCAGGAGCUACUGCACCCGUCCUGAGGUGUUCCUGCCGAAGACAAGUUUGAGGUGUUGGGAUGGAGAUCUCGGAUCCCUCCUAACUUUGAUUAUGUUUUUACUUACGAGAAACAGAAGCACCGUCGUAGCAUCGGCAAGAAGAAUCAUCUGGCAUGGAAAAAAACAUCGGCAUGAAUUUUAAUUUGGCCGACAGAGGUGCACGGAGGAGUUAUCUGUAUGCCCAUCCUUAUUCUAGAUGUAAUUCGAACCUUUUUGCUAAUAUGCACUUGUUAAACAGGAUAUGUAAAGGGCAGUCACUUCCUAUUGCUACAUCACGCUUCUGACUAUUCUCAUGUAUAUGGUCAAUUCAGUUUAACCCAGUAUGUGUCGAUGACUAA
This is an RNA transcript of Triticum dicoccoides, 5212 nucleotides long. RefSeq lists it as uncharacterized. Lineage: Eukaryota; Viridiplantae; Streptophyta; Magnoliopsida; Poales; Poaceae. The record is from RefSeq and is a predicted model, not a curated record. The transcript is spliced from 2 exons.